UACGUAGGGUGCGAGCGUUAUUCGGAAUUACUGGGCGUAAAGCGUGCGUAGGCGGUUCGCUGUGUCCGAUGUGAAAGCCCCGGGCUUAACCUGGGAAUGGCAUUGGAAACUGGCGGGCUUGAGUGUGGCAGAGGGGGGUGGAAUUCCGCGUGUAGCAGUGAAAUGCGUAGAGAUUGGGAAGAACACCAGUGGCGAAGGCGGCUAUCUGGACGGUUUCUGACGCUAAGACGCGAAAGCGUGGGGAGCAAACAGG
Molecule: ribosomal RNA, 253 nt
Filed under: uncultured bacterium
Lineage: Bacteria
Description: partial 16S ribosomal RNA
Rfam family: Bacterial small subunit ribosomal RNA
Source: RNAcentral